Molecule: unclassified non-coding RNA, 141 nt
Filed under: soil metagenome
Description: partial internal transcribed spacer 1
Source: RNAcentral
CCGAGUACUACACCCAUAACCCUUUGUGAACCUUUAUAACCUGUUGCUUCGGCGGCGCGCCUCUCGGGGCGUGCCCGCCGGUAUCAUCAGAAUCUCUGUUCGAACCCGACGAUACAUCUGAGUGCUCUAAGCGAACUGUUA